This 94-nucleotide Y RNA is filed under the name Nothobranchius furzeri (turquoise killifish). Its description in RNAcentral is "Y RNA (ENSNFUG00015018855.1)". It matches the Rfam family "Y RNA". Rfam says of the family: Y RNAs are components of the Ro ribonucleoprotein particle (Ro RNP), in association with Ro60 and La proteins. The record is from Rfam by way of RNAcentral. Lineage: Eukaryota; Metazoa; Chordata; Actinopteri; Cyprinodontiformes; Nothobranchiidae.
GGUUGGUCCGAUGGCAGUGGGGCUUCAAACGAUUGUUUCAGACAGUAACAGUUUCUCCUCUCUCUAUCUCACUACCGACCUUGACUAACCUUUU